This 201-nucleotide ribosomal RNA is filed under the name uncultured bacterium. RNAcentral's name for it is "partial 16S ribosomal RNA". It matches the Rfam family "Bacterial small subunit ribosomal RNA", at positions 328 to 539 of the family's 1533-position model. The record is from RNAcentral.
ACGCUCGACACCUACUGGAGGCAGCAGUGGGGAAUAUUGGGCAAUGGGCGAAAGCCUGACCCAGCAACGCCGCGUGAGGGAAGAAGGUUUUCGGAUUGUAAACCUCUGUCCUCAGGGACGAAGGACGUGACGGUACCUGAGGAGGAAGCCCCGGCUAACUACGUGCUAGCAGCCGCGGUAAUCUGAGCGGGCUGGCAAGGC